UGCAAGUCGAGCGGUAGAGAGAAGCUUGCUUCUCUUGAGAGCGGCGGACGGGUGAGUAAUGCCUGGGAAUCUGCCUGGUAGUGGGGGAUAACGUUCGGAAACGGACGCUAAUACCGCAUACGUCCUACGGGAGAAAGCAGGGGACCUUCGGGCCUUGCGCUAUCAGAUGAGCCUAGGUCGGAUUAGCUAGUUGGUGAGGUAAUGGCUCACCAAGGCGACGAUCCGUAACUGGUCUGAGAGGAUGAUCAGUCACACUGGAACUGAGACACGGUCCAGACUCCUACGGGAGGCAGCAGUGGGGAAUAUUGGACAAUGGGCGAAAGCCUGAUCCAGCCAUGCCGCGUGUGUGAAGAAGGUCUUCGGAUUGUAAAGCACUUUAAGUUGGGAGGAAGGGCUGUUACCUAAUACGUAAUGGUUUUGACGUUACCGACAGAAUAAGCACCGGCUAACUCUGUGCCAGCAGCCGCGGUAAUACAGAGGGUGCAAGCGUUAAUCGGAAUUACUGGGCGUAAAGCGCGCGUAGGUGGUUUGUUAAGUUGGAUGUGAAAUCCCCGGGCUCAACCUGGGAACUGCAUUCAAAACUGACUGACUAGAGUAUGGUAGAGGGUGGUGGAAUUUCCUGUGUAGCGGUGAAAUGCGUAGAUAUAGGAAGGAACACCAGUGGCGAAGGCGACCACCUGGACUGAUACUGACACUGAGGUGCGAAAGCGUGGGGAGCAAACAGGAUUAGAUACCCUGGUAGUCCACGCCGUAAACGAUGUCAACUAGCCGUUGGGAGCCUUGAGCUCUUAGUGGCGCAGCUAACGCAUUAAGUUGACCGCCUGGGGAGUACGGCCGCAAGGUUAAAACUCAAAUGAAUUGACG
RNAcentral lists this ribosomal RNA (864 nucleotides) under Pseudomonas extremaustralis. Its description in RNAcentral is "bacterial SSU rRNA". It matches the Rfam family "Bacterial small subunit ribosomal RNA", at positions 56 to 915 of the family's 1533-position model. Lineage: Bacteria; Pseudomonadati; Pseudomonadota; Gammaproteobacteria; Pseudomonadales; Pseudomonadaceae. The record is from RNAcentral.